Molecule: long non-coding RNA, 573 nt
Filed under: Callithrix jacchus (white-tufted-ear marmoset)
Lineage: Eukaryota; Metazoa; Chordata; Mammalia; Primates; Cebidae
Description: lncRNA (ENSCJAG00000078763.1)
Source: RNAcentral
CAUGUUACAGCCAUUUUUCCAUUUCCAUUGUCACAGCAGAAACUAUUGGUUUCUCACACAGCAGCUAUUGUCCUUUCUUUUCUUUUUCUUUCUUUCUUUUUUUUUCUGAGACGGAGUCUCGCUCUGUUGCCCAGGCCAAAGUGCAGUGGUGUGAUCACAGAUUACUGCAGCCUCAACCUCCCAGGCUCAAGCUAUCUUCCCACUUCAGCCUCCCACGUAUCUGGGACCACAAGCCUGUUUCACCAUGCCCAGCUAAUUUUUACAUUUUUUUUUUUUUUUUUUUUGUAGAGAUGGGGUUUCACUGUGUUACCCAGGCUGGUCUCAAAUUCCUGGACUCAAGCAAUCCUCCUGUCUUGUACUCCCGCCAUGCUAGGAUUACAGAUGGGAAAACAGAGACUCUGAGAAGUAGGAGACUUGAUCACGGUGACUCAAAGGCAGAGCGAGUUCCGAUGAGGCAGCCUGGUUCCUGCUUAGUUGCUUUUCCCAGAGGAGGUUCCCCGCUGGCCGUCUCCCCAAAGCCUGUCCUCCUUGUGUGGCUGGGAGGAGAGAGGAGGUCCUGGAGCAGGAACAGCC